GAGAUUGGAACAAGAGAAACUCUGUGGUCCUCUUAAUAACUAAAAAGAACGAGAGAAAUAUUUAUCCGUGCUCCUUUCCCAACCCCUAGUCAGUCAGCCAUCUCCGGGGACGUUGGCAGCCGCCAUCAAUUAUCUCCUGUUUCUUUUCUGGAACAAAAAAGGAAAAAAGAGAUUUGCGGAGGGCCCACACAUAUAUGAACACAUCAAAUGUUCU
Molecule: non-coding RNA, 214 nt
Organism: Caenorhabditis elegans
Lineage: Eukaryota; Metazoa; Nematoda; Chromadorea; Rhabditida; Rhabditidae
Source: Ensembl